UAGUCCAUGCCGUAAACGAUGUGUGCUAGACGUUGGAAAUAUAUUUUUCAGUGUCGCAGCGAAAGCAUUAAGCACACCGCCUGGGGAGUACGACCGCAAGGUUAAAACUCAAAUGAAUUGACGGGGGACCCGCACAAGCAGUGGAGCAUGUGGUUUAAUUCGAAGAUACGCGCAGAACCUUACCAACACUUGACAUGUUCGUCGCGAGACUAAGAGAUUAGUCUUUUCAGUUCGGCUGGACGAAACACAGGUGCUGCAUGGCUGUCGUCAGCUCGUGUCGUGAGAUGUUGGGGUAAGUCCCGCAACGAGCGCAACCCCUACUUUUAGUUGCCACCAUUUAAGUUGGGCACUUUAAAAGAACUGCCAGUGAUAAGCUGGAGGAAGGUGGGGAUGACGUCAAGUCCUCAUGGCCCUUAUGUGUUGGGCUACACACGUGCUACAAUGGUACUUACAAUGGAUAGCAAAGAGUGACUAGUUACUAGACUACUAACUCGUAAACUGUAACUUCG
Molecule: ribosomal RNA, 509 nt
Filed under: uncultured bacterium
Lineage: Bacteria
Description: bacterial SSU rRNA
Rfam family: Bacterial small subunit ribosomal RNA
Source: RNAcentral